AGCCUUUCCAUUUGUCUCGCAGACCUGGAGUCACGUGACACAGAGCGCCAGCUAAAUCAAAAGUUGGCCGUUUCAGAGCAACAUUGAGCCUCACCGUAUCGAGACGCAACAACCACUGUUCCGCGGCUUUUGUAUUUAAAACAGUUCUAAAUCCAACCGGAGAGAACCCUUGUUUUAUGGUGUUUUAUGGUUCUUCUUUCAUCGUUUGACUAAUUUACGUGUGAUUUCAGCUGGAUCAAAGGGGAAAUUAAUCAGUCAGAUGGAUUGCAGAAAUACCUGGUUUGUUUCUCGAGGACAUUUACUAAGUAAUAUAUGCUGGAAGUAAAGGCUAUGCUUAUGGGAACUCAGCAGUCCUCAACCAUAAGGAUCCCGUUGCCAGUCUCGUUACCAUGACUGAUGGCGAGGGGAGAGAGCAGUUCCACCCGCUGGGUAGCGAGGAAGUCCGGGUCCCGAUCUCAGGCUCGGGGCAAUGCCCGGCUCAAGGCGAGGACCCCGGGGAUGAGGAAGAUGGAGACAGCGCUGGAAAACCCGUUGGGGGGAGUGUGGGUUCAGGGGGGUCCAGUGGUCGGGACAAGGCUCCGGACCUGGUAUCCGAGGAUGAGGAACAGGUCCCGCAUCCAGUUUUGGCUCCCGUGGUCUUUUUCUGGCUCAAGCAGACGACGCGUCCCCGCAGUUGGUGCCUCAGAUUGGUUUGUAAUCCAUAUCCUUUCCAAUA
Molecule: long non-coding RNA, 715 nt
Organism: Polyodon spathula (Mississippi paddlefish)
Lineage: Eukaryota; Metazoa; Chordata; Actinopteri; Acipenseriformes; Polyodontidae
Exons: 2
Source: RefSeq, a predicted model, not a curated record